CGUUCUGUAAGCCUGUGAAGGUGUGCUGUGAGGCAUGCUGGAGGUAUCAGAAGUGCGAAUGCUGACAUAAGUAACGAUAAAGCGGGUGAAAAGCCCGCUCGCCGGAAGACCAAGGGUUCCUGUCCAACGUUAAUCGGGGCAGGGUGAGUCGACCCCUAAGGCGAGGCCGAAAGGCGUAGUCGAUGGGAAACAGGUUAAUAUUCCUGUACUUGGUGUUACUGCGAAGGGGGGACGGAGAAGGCUAUGUUGGCCGGGCGACGGUUGUCCCGGUUUAAGCGUGUAGGCUGGUUUUCCAGGCAAAUCCGGAAAAUCAAGGCUGAGGCGUGAUGACGAGGCACUACGGUGCUGAAGCAACAAAUGCCCUGCUUCCAGGAAAAGCCUCUAAGCAUCAGGUAACAUCAAAUCGUACCCCAAACCGACACAGGUGGUCAGGUAGAGAAUACCAAGGCGCUUGAGAGAACUCGGGUGAAGGAACUAGGCAAAAUGGUGCCGUAACUUCGGGAGAAGGCACGCUGAUAUGUAGGUGAAGUCCCUCGCGGAUGGAGCUGAAAUCAGUCGAAGAUACCAGCUGGCUGCAACUGUUUAUUAAAAACACAGCACUGUGCAAACACGAAAGUGGACGUAUACGGUGUGACGCCUGCCCGGUGCCGGAAGGUUAAUUGAUGGGGUCAGCGCAAGCGAAGCUCUUGAUCGAAGCCCCGGUAAACGGCGGCCGUAACUAUAACGGUCCUAAGGUAGCGAAAUUCCUUGUCGGGUAAGUUCCGACCUGCACGAAUGGCGUAAUGAUGGCCAGGCUGUCUCCACCCGAGACUCAGUGAAAUUGAACUCGCUGUGAAGAUGCAGUGUACCCGCGGCAAGACGGAAAGACCCCGUGAACCUUUACUAUAGCUUGACACUGAACAUUGAGCCUUGAUGUGUAGGAUAGGUGGGAGGCUUAGAAGUGUGGACGCCAGUCUGCAUGGAGCCGACCUUGAAAUACCACCCUUUAAUGUUUGAUGUUCUAACGUUGACCCGUAAUCCGGGUUGCGGACAGUGUCUGGUGGGUAGUUUGACUGGGGCGGUCUCCUCCUAAAGAGUAACGGAGGAGCACGAAGGUUGGCUAAUCCUGGUCGGACAUCAGGAGGUUAGUGCAAUGGCAUAAGCCAGCUUGACUGCGAGCGUGACGGCGCGAGCAGGUGCGAAAGCAGGUCAUAGUGAUCCGGUGGUUCUGAAUGGAAGGGCCAUCGCUCAACGGAUAAAAGGUACUCCGGGGAUAACAGGCUGAUACCGCCCAAGAGUUCAUAUCGACGGCGGUGUUUGGCACCUCGAUGUCGGCUCAUCACAUCCUGGGGCUGAAGUAGGUCCCAAGGGUAUGGCUGUUCGCCAUUUAAAGUGGUACGCGAGCUGGGUUUAGAACGUCGUGAGACAGUUCGGUCCCUAUCUGCCGUGGGCGCUGGAGAACUGAGGGGGGCUGCUCCUAGUACGAGAGGACCGGAGUGGACGCAUCACUGGUGUUCGGGUUGUCAUGCCAAUGGCACUGCCCGGUAGCUAAAUGCGGAAGAGAUAAGUGCUGAAAGCAUCUAAGCACGAAACUUGCCCCGAGAUGAGUUCUCCCUGACCCUUUAAGGGUCCUGAAGGAACGUUGAAGACGAC
This 1632-nucleotide ribosomal RNA is filed under the name Escherichia coli. Its description in RNAcentral is "partial 23S ribosomal RNA". It matches the Rfam family "Bacterial large subunit ribosomal RNA", at positions 1237 to 2848 of the family's 2925-position model. Lineage: Bacteria; Pseudomonadati; Pseudomonadota; Gammaproteobacteria; Enterobacterales; Enterobacteriaceae. The record is from RNAcentral.